This is a long non-coding RNA of Hippocampus comes (tiger tail seahorse), 1459 nucleotides long. RefSeq lists it as uncharacterized. Lineage: Eukaryota; Metazoa; Chordata; Actinopteri; Syngnathiformes; Syngnathidae. The record is from RefSeq and is a predicted model, not a curated record. The transcript has 2 exons.
CUCUCGGGGAACUUUAGCUCCUGUGGCAAUAUCUGUCUUGGCGUGUCUGUGGUGUAUGUACAGUAUGUGUGUGUGUGUGUGUGUGUGUGUGUGUGUGUGUGUGUGUGUGUGUGUGUGUGUGUGUGUGCGGUUGCCAAAAACCUCCCGUUGCAUGCCGACACGAUUCAAAAUCAUGAAUCAUGAAUGUUUGUUAAUCUGCAUAUUUACCCAUAUAAUUACCAAGAGUCUGUGUGUGGAAUAUUUUGUCCAUGAUAAAAAUCAUGUUCAUGCAAAGUUUAAGUUUUCAGUGCAGGGAUAUGUUUGGAGUUGGAUGGACACCAAGUUAGGCAAGAGUUAUACUCCAUAACUUAUCGAAAAGUGUGUGUUGGAAUGCCAGCUAAUGUUCAGGCAUGUCGGUGGCGACCAUCUUUGUUUUGGGCGGGCUGCCAACGGCGAGAAAGGGAUUUGCCAUCUGACUGGUGCAAUGCAGCCUUCAUGGCGUGUAACUCCAAACUGAUUGAAACCUUUGAACAAGGGCAUGCCACGUCUCAUCUCAUCAAGUGGGCCUGUCUGGCACGCGGUAUGUCUUAAGCCUAGAAAUGCAGAAACUACUGCUACAGAUGCUGAACUUCAGUAAGUCGAACUUCAUAUUCUGUAAGAGUUUGAACAAAUGUCAAAGAAGGUCGAUCGUCCAAAACUAUUUCAACAACCUUGUUGAAGGUCAGUAUGCUUAACAGAUAAUCUUUACACUGAAACCUUGCAUUUGUGUGGACAGGACCUUGGAGGGUCCGCCAACGUGAAAGCUCAUCCUUUUUAUUCACAUGCGGCGGCACCAGGUCAUUCUUGUACCUCCAGUAAUCAAUUUUUCUCAACACUUGAUGAAAUGAAAGCAGAGGAAAAAGCUUUUCUUCUUGACUCCCAAAAGUUUUCCAACUCGUAGUACAGUCCUGUUUAGUUUGAUCCACAUUUUAUUUCCAUUAUCAUUGUCACGAGUGCCCAAAUUAGCAACUUGUUCAGUUCAGUGCAACACUCGUCUGGCAUUUUCGGCUUCAAUGGAAACUCACGGAUCAAUUGCGGUCAUCUUGUGGCCACAUCAAAUUUUUGUCUCUGCAUCCAAUAUGUGUGAAAAUUAGUUUGCUGGCAAGGAAAGAAACAUCCUCUCAAGUGGAAGCUCAACGUUUUUCUGUCAUACUGAUUUAGGACUAUGAUCGCCGACUGCUCCCUCCCCAUUGGAUAGAAUCGAUUUGCGGCCUUGUGUAAUGCCAGCUUCUCCUCACUCUAUGCGCUGUACAUAAAGUACGAGUGACAUUUAACGCACACGGUCUCCCCUGAAUAGGCAUUGGGCGAAUGUCUUGCUCGGGGUGAGUCAGCAUUGCGCUUCCAUGGCUAAUGGGUAGGAAAUGUCCACCUAGGAGAUUCUAAUUGCAUCUCUUCCCCAUCCGGCUCCAUUAGGCCCUAAAUGGCAACAACACACAGCAGA